GAUGAACGCUAGCUACAGGCUUAACACAUGCAAGUCGAGGGGCAGCGCAGUGUAGCAAUACAGUGGGCGGCGACCGGCGCACGGGUGCGUAACGCGUAUCCAACCUUCCCGUUACUCAGGGAUAGCCUUCCGAAAGGGAGAUUAAUACCCUGAUGGUGUUUGAAUUCCGCAUGUUAUUCAAACUAAAGAUUUAUCGGUAACGGAUGGGGAUGCGUGACAUUAGCUAGACGGCGGGGUAACGGCCCACCGUGGCUACGAUGUCUAGGGGGUUCUGAGAGGAAGGUCCCCCACACUGGAACUGAGACACGGUCCAGACUCCUACGGGAGGCAGCAGUGAGGAAUAUUGGUCAAUGGGCGGGAGCCUGAACCAGCCAAGUAGCGUGAAGGAUGACUGCCCUACGGGUUGUAAACUUCUUUUGUUUGGGAAUAAAAGACGCUACGUGUAGCGUUCUGCAUGUACCUUACGAAUAAGCAUCGGCUAAUUCCGUG
Molecule: ribosomal RNA, 489 nt
Filed under: uncultured bacterium
Lineage: Bacteria
Description: bacterial SSU rRNA
Rfam family: Bacterial small subunit ribosomal RNA
Source: RNAcentral